Molecule: ribosomal RNA, 892 nt
Filed under: uncultured bacterium
Lineage: Bacteria
Description: bacterial SSU rRNA
Rfam family: Bacterial small subunit ribosomal RNA
Source: RNAcentral
AGAGUUUGAUCAUGGCUCAGGAUGAACGCUGGCGGCGUGCCUAAUACAUGCAAGUCGAACGCUUUGUGGUUCAACUGAUUUGAAGAGCUUGCUCAGAUAUGACGAUGGACAUUGCAAAGAGUGGCGAACGGGUGAGUAACACGUGGGAAACCUACCUCUUAGCAGGGGAUAACAUUUGGAAACAGAUGCUAAUACCGUAUAACAAUAGCAACCGCAUGGUUGCUACUUAAAAGAUGGUUCUGCUAUCACUAAGAGAUGGUCCCGCGGUGCAUUAGUUAGUUGGUGAGGUAAUGGCUCACCAAGACGAUGAUGCAUAGCCGAGUUGAGAGACUGAUCGGCCACAAUGGGACUGAGACACGGCCCAUACUCCUACGGGAGGCAGCAGUAGGGAAUCUUCCACAAUGGGCGAAAGCCUGAUGGAGCAACGCCGCGUGUGUGAUGAAGGGUUUCGGCCCGUAAAACACUGUUGUAAGAGAAGAAUGACAUUGAGAGUAACUGUUCAAUGUGUGACGGUAUCUUACCAGAAAGGAACGGCUAAAUACGUGCCAGCAGCCGCGGUAAUACGUAUGUUCCAAGCGUUAUCCGGAUUUAUUGGGCGUAAAGCGAGCGCAGACGGUUAUUUAAGUCUGAAGUGAAAGCCCUCAGCUCAACUGAGGAAUUGCUUUGGAAACUGGAUGACUUGAGUGCAGUAGAGGAAAGUGGAACUCCAUGUGUAGCGGUGAAAUGCGUAGAUAUAUGGAAGAACACCAGUGGCGAAGGCGGCUUUCUGGACUGUAACUGACGUUGAGGCUCGAAAGUGUGGGUAGCAAACAGGAUUAGAUACCCUGGUAGUCCACACCGUAAACGAUGAGUGCUAGGUGUUUGAGGGUUUCCGCCCUUAAGUGCCGCAGCU